ACAACCAAUGCUGGGUCCACAACAGCUGAUAUAAAUUCCACCAAUGUGAAUACUGGUUCACCUUUACCAGCUAGCAGUCAGAGUUCUGAGAAAUCAGAUGGGCCAUCUACUACUGGAGUGGAAAAUAGAGCAACCUCAGCCACAAACUUGGACUCACAAAAAAGUGCAGUUGUAGAAUCGCCUGCCACAAAACCACCUUCCAUAAUUGGUACCCCAAUUUCAACAGAGGAACAGAGAGCUCUAAGCCCAGGAGGUGUUGCUGCCAUUACAAUAAUUGUGAUAGCAAUAGUCUUAGUCAUAUUUGGAGGGGUAGCAUUCUGGAAGAUAAGGAAUUCUUCUUAUGGACGGCUACUAGAGGAUCAAGACUAUGGAUCACUGGGAAAUUACAACAAUCCUCUUUAUGAUGACUCCUGAAAGACGCAGGAAACUGGAUUCCUGAAAUGUCAAUCAACGACUGAUUAAGAACAGAACAAAACUGCUGUUUUUGGCGUUCUGGCUAAAAACAGCUAAUAUGCUUUAACUAUAAACUCUUAGGCCAGCUAAGAUUACCUUUCACGCUUUCUCAUCUGCAAUGCAAAGAACAAACCUAUGAGUGUCAGCUAAAAAUCAAAACAAAACUUGAGUUGUAAUAAUGUGGGUAAUUUGCAAUGUCACAAGUACUGCUUACAGUAAACACUAUCACUUUGAUGUAAUAUGUGCAUCAGAACUCAUGAUAUAACAGCUUUGCACAUCACACUAAGCAUUGCAUUCAGUAAAAAAAAAGUACACUUGGAAAUCAUAAAGAGUUAUUCAAGGACUAUACUGCAUAUAUAUAUAUUACCUAUUAGAAAGAAAUAAUAAUGCCCAAUAUUCUGAGCAAUGUAGGGUGUUUCAUUAAGAACAUAUACACAGCUUCUAUGUCCCUCACCUUUGCUGCUUGUGACAUCCUACCCUAUCUAGCCGGCCAGCAUGCGGGUGACACAAAAGGGCACUGAUGGAACAGCCAAUAGGGGACAUCAAAGUGUCGGGGGUCUGUGAACAUGCAUACACACAUGUAACAAAACAAAAAACUGUCCAUAUUUAUUCAGGUCCAUUUUUAGGGCUAGCAUGAAGCUGCUCUUUUACCUAUCUGCUUAAUUGCCCUAGAAAUAUAAUCUCGAUUGUUUUGAAUGGCCAGUCUCCAACCACAAAAGAAAACUGUAUCCAUAUCAGAAUGAUCCCCUUUUAAUUAGGUUGUUUGGGAUCUUUUAAUGAUAGCGUGUGGUAGAAAUGGGUGAGUUGGUCAGACCAUGUUGAUCUGGAGUUAACUGCAGUAUAAGGAAAAGUGCUUGUGAGUGGUACGGCCCACUGUCAGGUAGCGCAAGCAAGAGCAUUGAUGCCCUAAUAGUGUAAACAACGUUGUUAACAUAGCAUUGAGUUUCUGCGUCAAAAUCAAAAAUUGUGAGAAAGGAAAAACAUAUGUAGUAGUCCAAUGCUUCAGUAUGCUUGCUCAGUGAUAUCUGAGUUAAUUAGAUAUGUUUCAAGUCCUGGCAAUAAAGAAGAAUGUGAAGGACACGCAGAAAGCUUGAUAAAGAUAUCAUCGUUUCUUAUCCUUACAUAUUAUGUCACACAAAAGAUUUGGAAUCCUAUAAAAAUGUGGUUUCCUCACUAACAAACCUUUCACCAUAUCUGUCUGUCUGUUUUCUCACAUUAAAUGCACCUCAGAUAUGCCUAAAAUAUGAUGUAAACACUGGAACUGAUGCUUCUGAGUUACUAUAUUAGUGUGCCUUGUACACUGAACUAUACCUUACAUUAAGGGGGUAGUUUUAUAGCUACUGAGAUUUUUUGCAUUGAAAUAUCCCACUGUAUGUUGUAAAGGGUUUUUAAGAAAGUUUUGAAAUAAGUGUAACCUAGUUUUACAUUUCCCCAAAUCUAGAAUGUAAUCUGUUGGCAUAAUGUUUUAGACCAUAAUAAUGAUUAAUAUCAUAAUAGCAUAAGCACUCCAGUUGGAAAGUAUGUAUUAAAAUGUCACAAUGUGAAGUUAUUGUUAAUAAAAAAAAAUACACUAA
This is a long non-coding RNA of Spea bombifrons (plains spadefoot toad), 2027 nucleotides long. RefSeq lists it as uncharacterized. The transcript has 3 exons. The record is from RefSeq and is a predicted model, not a curated record. NCBI's taxonomy places the organism in Eukaryota, Metazoa, Chordata, Amphibia, Anura, Pelobatidae.